Molecule: long non-coding RNA, 1149 nt
Organism: Cyprinus carpio (common carp)
Lineage: Eukaryota; Metazoa; Chordata; Actinopteri; Cypriniformes; Cyprinidae
Source: Ensembl
AUGUCAAAAAUCCUCAGUCUGGGCAUAGUGGCCGCCACAGACAUCAGUUCUGGAAGGAGGUCAUUGUUCAGAUGGUUGGCAGAGAUGCGCAGUUCCGUGAGGCUGGCCUGCAGUUUGAGCACUCUGAGGAGAGGAGUCAGAGGCAAACUGAGUCCACAGACGUUCACACAGGAGCUGCUGACCUGCACCUCACACAGCCGAGACACACGCCGGUUCUACUCUGAAACACACAUGCCACACAAGCCAGGGGAGGGUGAACUCUCAUCCUGUGCACUCGGCGGACGCGACUGCAUCGGGAGAAGAACAGCAUCUUCAUCGUCGUCAUCCUUGUCCUUGAGGAUGGUCAACAACACUUCGUCAUCGUCAUCUUCCUCUCCCGCUAACGGAUCUUCAAACAGUGGGGGAAGGACAGGUGACACCUUUUCCAUCAUCUCACCCCAGGAGCUGGAGGCCUGUGGACAAUCCAUCGGUUCCUCUCUGGGUUGAGCAGAGAGGCAUGGGUCCAACUUCCCAGCUACUGCAACACGAAGCCUUCACUCUCGGGUUUUGACCGAGAACGUCGCGCAGUGGGGCAAGCCCUCGGGGUUGGACAACGCUGCCUGAGCGUGUUUUUCACCCAAGCAGAAGAUGCAGAGACCGUGUGAAUCUUUCGCAGAAAUCCACAUUCCACACGGAUGAGGAGGAUGGCCCUUUCUUCCGGGGCUCUCCGGCUCUUUUGCAGUGGCCAUGAAGCCUGCACUNGCGCUGGGUUGGGAGAACCGGAGUCCAGCUGACGCCCCAUCUCCUUUAAUAACUCCGCUUGAUAGGCUUAAGGAGGGACGUCGCGUUCAAAGCACGUACGGCCAGUGCAGAAGAUUUAUAAAUCUUUUGAAAAACGGAGGCGGCGAAGCGCUCUGUUUUCCCUGGCAAAGAGGCCCCAAUUGAAGAGAGCGCUGCUCUGUGGCUCGGAUUCAAAUGAUUCGCCACAGAUGAUUCUACAGGGGGAGGAUCUGCCAUCCCCAGAUCCUCCAUUCCCUGGACAUCUAGCCUCGAGAAGCCCUUAACAGGUACUCGGUGGGAAAAAGGCUUAUCCCAAAACCUCUUCAUUUCAGCCACACAAGCCGGGACGGCUGGAAUAAACUGCCUCGCUGGAGGGAGAUGUGACGGAAG